UACGGUGGGGGCAAGCGUUGUUCGGAAUUACUGGGCGUAAAGGGCUCGUAGGCGGCCAACUAAGUCGGACGUGAAAUCCCCAGGCUCAACCUGGGAACUGCGUCUGAUACUGGAUGGCUUGAAUCCGGGAGAGGGAUGCAGAAUUCCAGGUGUAGCGGUGAAAUGCGUAGAUAUCUGGAGGAAUACCGGUGGCGAAGGCGGCAUCCUGGACCGGCAUUGACGCUGAGGAGCGAAAGCCAGGGGAGCAAACGGG
RNAcentral lists this ribosomal RNA (253 nucleotides) under uncultured bacterium. RNAcentral's name for it is "partial 16S ribosomal RNA". It matches the Rfam family "Bacterial small subunit ribosomal RNA", at positions 524 to 776 of the family's 1533-position model. The record is from RNAcentral.